UCCCGCCUGCCCAGUGACUCUUUAAACGGCCGCGGUAUCCUAACCGUGCAAAGGUAGCAUAAUCACUUGUCCCCUAAAUAGGGACUAGAAUGAACGGCUAAAUGAGGACAAAACUGUCUCUUACGGAUUGACCAAUGAAAUUGAUCUUCCAGUACAAAAGCUGGAAUAAACUCAUAAGACGAGAAGACCCUGUGGAGCUUUAAAACCAAAAACACCAAACAUGCUACUUGGUUUUUUAGUUGGGGCGACUUUGGAGCAAAAAAAACCCUCCAAAACAUAUAACCCAUUUAUUAAGAAUAACACACCAAAAAUAAUUAAAAUAGACCCAGCAACAUUUUAUGUUGUCUGACCAAUGAACCAAGUUACCCCAGGGAUAACAGCGCCAUCCUCUUCUAGAGUCCUUAUCGACAAGAGGGUUUACGACCUCGAUGUUGGAUCAGGACACCCCUAUAGUGCAGCCGCUAUAAAAGGUUCGUUUGUUCAACGAUUAAAGUCCUACGUGAU
RNAcentral lists this ribosomal RNA (504 nucleotides) under Podarcis liolepis (Columbretes wall lizard). RNAcentral describes it as "partial 16S ribosomal RNA". It matches the Rfam family "Bacterial large subunit ribosomal RNA", at positions 1853 to 2604 of the family's 2925-position model. Lineage: Eukaryota; Metazoa; Chordata; Lepidosauria; Squamata; Lacertidae. The record is from RNAcentral.